This 93-nucleotide ribosomal RNA is filed under the name Acetoanaerobium noterae. RNAcentral's name for it is "partial 16S rRNA. Bacterial SSU". The record is from RNAcentral. Lineage: Bacteria; Bacillati; Bacillota; Clostridia; Peptostreptococcales; Filifactoraceae.
CUGGCUCAGGAUGAACGCUGGCGGCGUGCUUAACACAUGCAAGUCGAGCGGGCAAUUUAUCUAGCACUGAUUACUUCAAAUGGCUAUCGCCAG